RNAcentral lists this transfer RNA (72 nucleotides) under Toxocara canis (dog roundworm). It matches the Rfam family "tRNA". Rfam says of the family: Transfer RNA (tRNA) molecules are approximately 80 nucleotides in length. Their secondary structure includes four short double-helical elements and three loops (D, anti-codon, and T loops). The record is from Rfam by way of RNAcentral. Lineage: Eukaryota; Metazoa; Nematoda; Chromadorea; Rhabditida; Toxocaridae.
GCGGGGGUAGCUCAGUCGUACAGCUCCCGCCUCGUAUGCGGGAACACCUGGGUUCGAUUUCCAGCUGCUUCA